Molecule: ribosomal RNA, 274 nt
Filed under: uncultured bacterium
Lineage: Bacteria
Description: partial 16S ribosomal RNA
Rfam family: Bacterial small subunit ribosomal RNA
Source: RNAcentral
AGACGGGGGGUGCUAGCGUUGUUCGGAAUUACUGGGCGUAAAGGGCGCGUAGGCGGCUCUGCGAGUCGGGCGUGAAAUCCCGGGGCUCAACCCCGGAACGGCGCUCGAUACUGCGGGGCUGGAGACCGGAAGAGGAGGGUGGAAUUCCCAGUGUAGAGGUGAAAUUCGUAGAUAUUGGGAGGAGCACCGGUGGCGAAAGCGGCUCUCUGGUCCGGUUCUGACGCUGAGGCGCGAAAGCGUGGGGAGCAAACAGGAUUAGAAACCCCAGUAGUCC